Long non-coding RNA from Nematostella vectensis (starlet sea anemone), 3281 nucleotides. RefSeq lists it as uncharacterized. The record is from RefSeq and is a predicted model, not a curated record. The transcript has 2 exons. NCBI's taxonomy places the organism in Eukaryota, Metazoa, Cnidaria, Anthozoa, Actiniaria, Edwardsiidae.
AGUAAGCUGCAAAUUCAGCAAGGCAAAGGUUAUCAACUACAGGGAUAGUUGUUGGUCUUUUAGGGUAACGCUCAAUCAGGUUAGACUUAAAUAUGUCAGUACUAUCAUCUUCAAGAUCUUUUAGUUGUUGUUUUGAUUUUGCCACCCAUAUUCUCUUAUCUGGUAAAUCUCUACUAACAAACACUGUUCCAGGAAAUAUUUUUCUCAACCAAAGUUCAGGCAUACACCUGUAUACGCAUUCCUGUGAACUAACUUCUCUAGUGGAAAGAAAAGCAGCACCAAUCUUUUUCAAGCAAUCUGUGACAUUCAUGUUUGAUGCUUUAGCUUCUUUUGCUGCAUUCAUUAUUGCUUGUGAGCAUUCUGUUUCAUCUUUUGUGAAGUAUGAGCAGACAUAUGUAAUGCACUUAUAGUGGUUAAAAAACAGGUUGCAAGUCUACAUUUGCAGAAAAUCCUUUUAUACCAGCUAUGAAGUAAUUGUUAAUAAAUCAGCUAUCAAGUGGUCUUAUAAGGUGUAGUUUAUAGUCAGAGUCUGGUGAUGUUGAUAGUGCUGAGUAAUAUUGUUCUUCAGUUAUGCCUAGUGAAUUAAAAAUGCUAGAUUCAAUUAAAUUGGGGUCAUAACUAUCUGGUUUACUGGGAUGUAAUACCUUAUUUAUUUUCUCUUACAGCUGUAAGUAUUUCCUUCUGUUUGUUAAGAGCUUGUAACUUAAGUUCCUCAUCAAGAUCAGCUGGCAGUGGUUCUGCUACAAUUGUUCUGUUUGUGAAGAACUGACCAAAAUUAAAUCUACAUUGAAUGUUUUUGUAUUUUCUACAGGUUUUUGAAUGACUGUGCUUUUGGUAAAAAUUAAAAAAGUCAUGUAACUCUUGCUCUGUUUCUUUAUUGGGUAGGAAAGCCUGUACAUGUUUAUCUACAAACUUAAUGUAAGCUUGUUUAGUAUCUUGUGCCAGCUUGGGACAAUCUGAAGUCCAUAUUAAUGCAUUUAAGUGAGUUGAACCUCUCAUUUGAAACUCAAUUCGAAGAGCAUAGUACACUACUUUGCCAAUAGUAUUUGCAUUGCUUAGUAAAAUUUCAGUUAAGAAUGUUUCAACUCUGUACUGGAAAUGUUUUGCAACAACAACAGGGUUAAGAUUUAACAUUGAACAUUUCUCAUUAUAAGACAUUGCUUCAACUUGUUCAUGUGUCAUGUCCAUUCCUCUUGUUCUGGCAAUUAUUUGAAAUAAUUCAGGCCAUCUUAGGUCAGCAUAAACCAAGUAGGAAUACCAAGCUGCUUCACCAUUGCUACUACUUCAUACAUAAAUUUCUGCCAGUAUGGUGGUGUACCUGGGAUCUGUCUUAAAAACAGGUAUGCUUGAUCCUGACAAAUAAGGUUCUCUAAAUUUUGUGCAUUUGAUCGUAAUUGAGCAGCAGUAACAGAUUGACCAUGUACUUUCCUCAUGGCAAUUUUGAUACUAUCUGAUACUUUCUUUUGUUCAAUAAUAAACUGUGCAAAGAACAGGUAUUCUGAAUUAGUUGCAAAUCUACCACUAUGAUGUAAAAGUCUGGCAUUGAAAUAUUUUGUUGGUGUUAGUUUUAUGGUUCUUUCUGUUUGAUAUCCAAAUUUGCCUUGCUAGUUCUUCACAUUGUUUAUCCAUCAUAAAUGAUACAGGGUGUCUAUUCUCACCUGGAGCUAUAUUGUAUAUUUCAUUCCCAGUUGAAAUGUCGUCAUUUUCUAUAGUGACAGGAUAAUCAGGUAUGAUUGACUGUAUGCAUGUUUCAUUUGUUGCAGCUAUAUGCUUAUCAUUGGAUCAUCUUUCUCUUCCUCCUUUCCAUUAGCUUUUUGCAAUUGGUCUGCACUGUUAUUAUUUAUGUUGUUAGUAUCAAUUGGACUGUUGGGGUUAAUACUCUGAGGUAGUACUUCUGAAUGAGAUUGAUCACCAAGUGAUGUCAGAGUAGAGGCUAUAUUUCCAAUGUCUAUUGUUAUUGUAUGAUAUAAUGGAUUGUUUGCUCUAAGCCAGUUAAGAGUAUUGAGUAAAAGUUGAGGACGUACAGCUUGAAAAUAUAAAUGACCUCUAAAAUCUAAUUUACUUUUUAGUUUAAGCAUAAUUAUACCAGAUCUCUCAGGAGGGCGUGGUAAUAUGUGAGAUGUCUGUUCACACUUAACAGAAUUUCUCUAAAACAGCAAGCUCAUCAGGGAUUUCGUGAACCUCCAUUUUAUUGCAUACAGCUUGACAUGGUAUUUCAUUCUUGAUUACCUUGGAAUGACAUGUUUUACAGAUGUAUUCCUUACCAUUGAAUGAUUGCUGUACAUGCAGCAGCAGUAAUAGUAAUAGUAAUAGUAGUAAUAGUAAUAGUAGUAGUAGUGGUAGUAGUAGUAGUAGUAGUAGUAAUAGUAGUAAUAAUAAUAGUAAUAAUAGUAAUAAUAAUAAUAAUAAAAGUAAUAGUUUAUUACAAAAGUCUGAAUUACAGUGAAGGGUCAUGUACGCCACUACUUUACACAAUGUUACUGAAAUCGCACACUAACAAAAUUAUUAAACCUGUCUGUAUUUUCUUGAAACCUAUCGGUACGCAUGUAGCUAGACCGGAGUGAGUAUCUAUGGUUGACUUCUGUAGCUUUAGGAAUGAUAUAGUUUAGAGGAGGUGAUAUCUUUGCUUUGGUGACAAAACUCUCACAGAGGCUAUCACGGCGAGCAGAUAAGGACAUGUGCCCUGCAUUGGUAAGAGCCGUGCAAUAAUCAGUCUGCGGGAAAAUAACGCGCAUCGCUCUCCUUUGCACCGCUUCCAGCAAAUCUGAUACGAAAACUGGUAGACCUGCCCACACUGGUGCUGCAUAUUCUAGUACCGAUCUUAUCAACGCAUAGUAUAUGCGGACUAAGUCAUUAGACUGGACACCGGGUAUUUUUAGUGAUCUUAAGGCAUAUAACCGCUUGCUGGCCUUCUUAAUAACGUACUCUACAUGCACGUUCCGCAUGAGGUCCCUACUCAAGUGGACUCCAAGGAUCAUGUAACUAUCCACUCUCUUAAUAGGUAAACCAGAAAUAUACAACUCCCCAGGGAGGGAAGGUUGGUAUUGAAGGAAGCUAACACUCAGUUCUCUGCAUUUCUUCGGGUUAAGUCGCAUGCCACGACUGGAGGCAAAGUUACUAAUGUCAUUUACGACUACUUGUAGGUAGCUAGGACUACAACGCGGGAUUACCUCAAAUACGGUUGUGUCAUCUACAUAUUUUAUACGUGCUGGCCAUUGUGUCACUAGCUUGUUUACUAAUAUCGCGAACAACAGAGGUGCUAGCUGUGACCUAUCCGUAAA